AGAAUACUCCGAGUUAUAGCUCGUCGUUAUUGGAGAUUGAAUGCUUCUGCACUUCUUCGACAGUAAAGCUGGGUAAUCCUCGGAACUCAAGCGCGGUCGUGGAACUUGCAAAAGCGACUCCAACGUCCAAGUCAAUAAUAUAUUUAUAUCUCGGAUUAGUGUUUUAUCUUCUAAGCCUUAAGCUCAACGCGUGUCGUUUCGGUAAGCAAGGGCAAGCUUGGUUUUGUUUUACUUUUUGGAAUUCAAAAAGGGUGUGGAGCUCGUAAUAAAUUCUUGUACAGUUAUUUUGAGAAGAUCACCACCACCCAUCACCAUGAUAAGUAAAAAUUUUUCUAAUCCAACCGUUAGUUUAAUGGGAGAUCGUGGAGUGGUGUUAUUUGUUUUUUUAUUACUGUUUUCGCUUUGGAAAGAGACAAAUUGUCUACUGGACUUUGUUUGAAGCUGAAAAGGACAUGACUUCAAAAGGUUAGUAGUUCUUUGUCUUUUUCUUUCGUUUCUUUUGGUGAUGGCAAGAGAUAAGGUGAUGGAGGUUAAAAAAGAAGACAUAUACAAUUGGGUGCAUGUUGCUAUAAAGCAUCGUGCUUCGGCUUAUAGUAUUGCUGAGUCUUUGCAUGAACUUAAUUCUACAAGGUUGGUUAAAGAUGGUUCAACUGUUGACGUGGAGCUGCUUCCCUAUAUAGCAUUGAGAGGAGAAGAGACUGGGCGUACUUCUAUUUGUAUACCCCUUGUCUGACGGUGUUACAUUUGAAGUUUCUAUUUUCAGAAUUUGAGUGCAAUGUUUUGACGUAGCUCAACUGCGCCCCUUCUCAACUGCAUCCAAUUUCAUGGGCUUUUUUACGAGCCUAUGAGUGUUUGAUGAAGUUUCUUGAGUUUCCUCCCUCACUAAACAUCUUUUUCUCACUAUUUCAAUAUAAAAGUGUGUGAAAAAGUCUCUGGGUCAACCUCAGUAGCUACCCUAGUAGUUCAUUUUUUGUUUUAUAUAAAUCUUCAUUCAACAAUUUUAAAGCUAUGUUUGUAAAGUUUCGGUCAUCAGAAACCGAAUACCCUUUUUACCUAGAUGAUGAGUUAGUUGAAAAAUUUCCUCUUUAUUAGUUUUCAGAGCCGAUGCAAAUAUUAGAAGCUAGGUGUUGUCCAUUUAUGAACUUUUGAAAUUGGAAACAGAUAAGGAGGCUUUUGGGGCCUAUAUAGGUAACUGAAUGGUUUUGAGAAUUUUGCUGCAUAGUUUAUUUUGUUUUGACAUUGUAUAUUUGUUUGUUCUGUAGGCAAAAGAGUUCCAAACUUGACUACUUCUCGGUUACAAUUGUUUUUGGUCCAGAAAAAAAAAGAGUGACAAAGAUGGUGGUGUCUCUGGGGUGAUUAAGGAAACAGGCGCUGAUGCCGCUCAAUCAAGCGCUCGGCCUAUUCCAUCGCCUAAAAGGAAAAUGCUUGAGUCUGAGAAGUCUUUAGAGAUUCUUUUCGAGGAGGAAUUGGAUGCUGGCACUGGUGGCAAGCAUGUUUUUGAAAAGCAGAAAAAGUUACAUGGCUUCAUUGAGGAGGUGAACGCACAAUCCUUGUGGAGUGAGCAGUUUCUAAUAACAGAGCUUUCUGAUAAGGUUGCCCAGUAUGCUAGUGAUGUGAGGAUGGUGAAACUAGUUAGUAAAGAAGGUAUAAUGAAGUAUAUGCAAGAUUCAUGAGUUGGAGAACGAUGUAUUAGAGAUGUUUUCUGCGGAUUUUGAUCGGGUUAUGAGCCAAGUGGCUUCUUUUGCUCCCGAGUUUGACAUCGGCAAGCUUAUGUUACAAAGAUCGUUGUUAAUGGUGAACUCGUCGAGGACAAGGUUGGCGAAGUGGAGGAUGAAAAUGCUGCUCCGGUUGAUAAAGACCUCUAGCUCCUUGAAUUUGUAUUGUUUUAUUUUGAAACUUCUGUUUGAACUUUGUUAAUGUUUGGACUAUGACCGACCUUUUGAAUAUCGGUUUUUUGUUUGUUGAAUUGAGAUCGACUUGUGACGUCGGGGUUGAAAAAUGUUAGAUGUUUAGAUGAUAUCUAUUUUGAUUAUUUCAAUGCGAUUUCCA
Non-coding RNA from Arachis ipaensis, 2049 nucleotides. The record is from RefSeq and is a predicted model, not a curated record. Lineage: Eukaryota; Viridiplantae; Streptophyta; Magnoliopsida; Fabales; Fabaceae.